CUUCCCCUACGGGAGGCAGCAGUGAGGAAUAUUGGUCAAUGGACGGAAGUCUGAACCAGCCAUGCCGCGUGCAGGAAGACGGCUCUAUGAGUUGUAAACUGCUUUUGUACAAGGGUAAACCUGAAUACGUGUAUUCAGCUGAAAGUACUGUACGAAUAAGGAUCGGCUAACUCCGUGCCAGCAGCCGCGGUAAUACGGAGGAUCCAAGCGUUAUCCGGAUUUAUUGGGUUUAAAGGGUGCGUAGGUUGUUUUAUAAGUUAGCGGUGAAAUACCGAUGCUCAACAUCGGGGCUGCCGCUA
Molecule: ribosomal RNA, 299 nt
Filed under: uncultured bacterium
Lineage: Bacteria
Description: partial 16S ribosomal RNA
Rfam family: Bacterial small subunit ribosomal RNA
Source: RNAcentral